UCGGGAAUUUUGGACAAUGGGCGCAAGCCUGAUCCAGCCAUGCCGCGUGCAGGAUGACGGUCCUAUGGAUUGUAAACUGCUUUUUGUACAGGAAGAAACAGUUCUACGUGUAGAACCUUGACGGUACUGUAAGAAUAAGGAUCGGCUAACUCCGUGCCAGCAGCCGCGGUAAUACGGAGGAUCCAAGCGUUAUCCGGAAUCAUUGGGUUUAAAGGGUCCGUAGGCGGUUAGAUAAGUCAGUGGUGAAAGCCCAUCGCUCAACGGUGGAACGGCCAUUGAUACUGUCUGACUUGAAUUAUUAGGAAGUAACUAGAAUAUGUAGUGUAGCGGUGAAAUGCUUAGAGAUUACAUGGAAUACCAAUUGCGAAGGCAGGUUACUACUAAUGGAUUGACGCUGAUGGACGAAAGCGUGAGUAGCGAACAGGAUUAGAUACCCCCGUAGUCCCUGAGCGGGCUGGCAAGGCGCAU
RNAcentral lists this ribosomal RNA (468 nucleotides) under uncultured bacterium. RNAcentral's name for it is "bacterial SSU rRNA". It matches the Rfam family "Bacterial small subunit ribosomal RNA", at positions 355 to 825 of the family's 1533-position model. The record is from RNAcentral.